Molecule: small nucleolar RNA, 64 nt
Filed under: Myotis lucifugus (little brown bat)
Lineage: Eukaryota; Metazoa; Chordata; Mammalia; Chiroptera; Vespertilionidae
Description: Small nucleolar RNA SNORD113/SNORD114 family
Rfam family: Small nucleolar RNA SNORD113/SNORD114 family
About the family: The imprinted human domain at 14q32 contains two clusters of tandemly repeated small nucleolar RNAs named 14q(I) and 14q(II) snoRNAs. These two clusters are named SNORD113 and SNORD114 respectively in the HGNC approved gene symbol nomenclature.
Source: Rfam by way of RNAcentral
CGGACCAAUGGUGAUGACUGGUGGAGUAUGAGUCAUGGAUGAUGAAUACUAUGUGCCUGUUUAU